This 848-nucleotide ribosomal RNA is filed under the name uncultured bacterium. Its description in RNAcentral is "bacterial SSU rRNA". It matches the Rfam family "Bacterial small subunit ribosomal RNA", at positions 60 to 925 of the family's 1533-position model. The record is from RNAcentral.
AGUCGAGCGAUGAGCACCUUCGGGUGUGAAUUAGCGGCGAACGGGUGAGGAACACGUGAGAAAUCUGCCUUCAACUCUGGGAUAACUCCGUGAAAACGGGGCUAAUACCGGAUAUGAGAUCUACAGGCGUCUGUGGAUCUGGAAAGUUUUUCGGUUGAAGAUGAUCUCGCGGCCUAUCAGCUUGUUGGUGAGGUAAUGGCUCACCAAGGCGACGACGGGUAGCCGGCCUGAGAGGGCGACCGGCCACACUGGGACUGAGACACGGCCCAGACUCCUACGGGAGGCAGCAGUGGGGAAUAUUGGGCAAUGGAGGAAACUCUGACCCAGCGACGCCGCGUGCGGGAUGAAGGCCUUCGGGUUGUAAACCGCUUUCAGCAGGGAAGAAGCGAAAGUGACGGUACCUGCAGAAGAAGCACCGGCUAACUAUGUGCCAGCAGCCGCGGUAAUACAUAGGGUGCAAGCGUUGUCCGGAAUUAUUGGGCGUAAAGAGCUCGUAGGUGGUUCGUCACGUCGGAUGUGAAACUCUGGGGCUUAACCCCAGACCUGCAUUCGAUACGGGCGAGCUUGAGUAUGGUAGGGGAGUCUGGAAUUCCUGGUGUAGCGGUGGAAUGCGCAGAUAUCAGGAGGAACACCAAUGGCGAAGGCAGGACUCUGGGCCAUUACUGACACUGAGGAGCGUAAGCGUGGGGAGCGAACAGGAUUAGAUACCCUGNUAGUCCACGCCGUAAACGGUGGGCACUAGUUGUGGGGACCUUCCACGGUCUCUGCGACGCANCUAACGCAUUNAGUGNCCCGCCUGGGGAGUACGAUCGCNAGAUUAAAACUCAAGGAAUUGACGGGGCCCCNNA